UACGGGGGGGGCAAGCGUUGUUCGGAAUUACUGGGCGUAAAGGGCUCGUAGGCGGCCAACUAAGUCAGACGUGAAAUCCCCAGGCUCAACCUGGGAACUGCGUCUGAUACUGGAUGGCUUGAAUCCGGGAGAGGGAUGCAGAAUUCCAGGUGUAGCGGUGGAAUGCGUAGAUAUCUGGAGGAACACCAGUGGCGAAGGCGACUACCUGGCCCAUUCUUGACGCUGAGGCGCGAAAGCUAGGGGAGCGAACGGG
RNAcentral lists this ribosomal RNA (253 nucleotides) under uncultured bacterium. RNAcentral's name for it is "partial 16S ribosomal RNA". It matches the Rfam family "Bacterial small subunit ribosomal RNA", at positions 524 to 776 of the family's 1533-position model. The record is from RNAcentral.